CCUACGGGUGGCUGCAGUGGGGGAUAUUGCACAAUGGCGGGAACCCUGAUGCAGCGACGCCGCGUGGGUGAGGGAGUAUUUCGGUGUGUCAGACCCUAUCGGCCGGGGAGCAUUUAGACGGUACCUGACUAAGAAGCCCCGGCUAACUACGGGCCCGCAGCCGCGGUACUACGUAGGGGGCAAGCGUUAUCCGGGUUCACUGGGGGUAAAGGGAGCGUAGACGGCCAGGCGAGCCUGGGGUGAAAGCCCGGGGCCCAACCCCGGGACUGCUCUGGGACCUGUCCGCCUGGAGUGCGGGAGGGGCAGGCGGAAUGCCUGGUGUAGCGGUGAAAUGCGUAGAUAUCAGGCGGAACCCCGGCUGCGAAGGCGGCCUGCUGGACCGCGACUGACGCUGAGGCACGAAAGCGCGGGGAGCGAACAGGAUUAGAUACCCGAGUAGUC
RNAcentral lists this ribosomal RNA (441 nucleotides) under uncultured bacterium. Its description in RNAcentral is "partial 16S ribosomal RNA". It matches the Rfam family "Bacterial small subunit ribosomal RNA", at positions 338 to 795 of the family's 1533-position model. The record is from RNAcentral.